This 2352-nucleotide long non-coding RNA is filed under the name Mus musculus (house mouse). Its description in RNAcentral is "RNA imprinted and accumulated in nucleus". The stretch from base 429 to 502 matches the Rfam family "Small nucleolar RNA SNORD113/SNORD114 family". Lineage: Eukaryota; Metazoa; Chordata; Mammalia; Rodentia; Muridae. The record is from RNAcentral.
AUGGCUCAGAGGUUGAGAGCACUGACUGUUCUCCCUGAUGUCCUGAGUUCAAUUCCCAGCAACCCCAUGGUGGCUCACAACCAUCUGUAAGGGCUCUGAUGCACUCUUCUGGUGUGUCUGAUGACAGCAGCAGUGUACUCCUGUUCCUAAAAUAAAUAAUUAUUUUAAAUACAUUAUUAUCUCUGAAGAGCAGAUGUAGCCAUAGGCAUAUAAGAUGUAUAUGAAGCACAAUGUUUAAUAAAAUUUUACCAAAUUAAGAUUGUGCAACAAUAGAGAUAGGCAUCAGUGCAGAAGAUCCCGUAGAGGUUUAACUGCACUCACGGAUCUUAUAGUUAGGGCUUGUCUCCAGUGGAGAUUUUCGCAAUGGUCCUAGUCAUCCAUUGCUCAAUAAUUUUACAUAGAUUAGUAGGGAAGAGGAGGACUGAUGUUGGAUCAAUGAUGAAUGUCUGUGAGCAUUCUUAGAGUCAUGAAUCAUGACGACAAAUUUAAUUCUGAGAUCAACAUCAUAAAGUAUCCAGUGACAGCUAUAAGAAGUAGUCUUCUUUUAUAAGUCAGUAAAUGUAAAUAAAAAUUGACUAGGAAGUCAUUUAAUCAAAAGGCAGCUCACAAAGAAGACUACAUAUAUGUAUAUAUGUAUAUAUGUAAGAAGAAAGUGUGACAGAGUAAUGACCAUGGAGGUGAGGGAUAAGAUGAAAUGAGCAGAAGCAGGCAGAAUACAUAGAUAAGCGAACGGAACAUCAAUCUCUUUAUAACCUCUUCUGUCUAUACUUCAAGAAUGGAUAUCCUGCAAGUCGGCUUCGUAGAGUCUCCCUUGAAAGUGGACCUCAUGAUCUAGCCUUUAUGUCCGUGGAUUGACACUGUGAUGGAUUCCCCCCAAGUUCAUUUAGAUAUUCUCUCUUAUUCAUAAAUGUCACGGUCAGCUCUGUUCUUAUAGAUACCAGAAUGGAUACCCCUAAGCUGAUGUAUAUACACCCUUCCUCGGUUGUGAGAUUCCUGCUCUGGUGGUUGUAGUCAUAAGAUAUACAUCGUUGCGUACACCUUGGUUGUGGGCACGCACACUACUGUUGAAUUACCACCUUGUCCAAGUGGAUGGAUGCCCUCAAUGGGAUUGGCACUUUCUCCAUUGCUCCUGCACUCUGUUAUCAGCACUUCGGGUUCAUAAUGUACACACAGCAAUGGAUUUUCUGCAGCUGAUUUUCUAUAUUCUGUUUUCUUCGGGUAAGCAGAAACAGAUGCCUUCCUCACUGGUCACCAGGUUCAAGGUCCCUCAUAUGUGUCAGGUGCAUAGUCACCAACAAAGGCCAACUUCACAUCAAUGGGUGGAUCGUACCUCGGCCUAAGCUCCAGGAUUGAUUGUGCUGUUAGAGUCACAGCUACAACCGGCUCAGGGAACCCAGUGGAAGAGGAGGUGGAGUGUGAGAGCCAAUUGGAAUGGAAGACAGUGAGGAAACAAGGCCUUCGAGACACAAGAGGACUGCUGAGCUCACAAAGACUGAGGCAGCACCCUCAGGACCUGCACAGGUCUAAGCUUGAUGCGAUCUGAGUACUGAGAGGGCAACUGGACACAAUUCUAUAUUGAUAACCCAGAAGCUUUCUCCAGUUGAUAAACUCUUUCAAAGGAAAAACUUGUUUUCUACCAUGGAGUGACACUGGAUAUAGAAACUACCGUUAACAGCAGACUCCAUGGCUCAGACUUCCAAUACAAUAUGAACUCAGUUGCAAUUUUUUGCAAGGUUUUUCGACUCAUAGUUCUUUGUCUGGGUACUUUUUCACCCUACAGAGAAUUUCUGUAUAUAUUAUCGUUUCUGAUUCUAGUGUUUUGAAUUUUCGCUGGGUCUAAAUAUCUCUGUCUCAGUGUCAGUAUGUGUUUCUCAUGAUUUUUCUUUGCUUCUCUUUUUCCUAUUCUUUGCUUGUAUUCCCUGGUUUGUGUUUGAGUGUCUGGGAACUCUGAGGGUCUGGUUGGUGAUAUUGUUGUUCUUCCUAUGGGGUUGAAAACCCCUUCAGCUCCUUCAGCCUUUCACUAAGUCCUCCAUUAUUAUGAUUCCUAUGCUCAGUCCAGUGGUUGGAUGUGAGCCCCCCCCCCCCUCUGCAUUUGUCAGGCUCCGGCAGAGCCUCUAAGGAGAUAGCUAUAUUAGGCUCUUGUCAGCUUUGUUUGUUUUUAUUCUGUCUUCUCUAUACUGUUUAUUUUAGAUAACUGUGUUUAUUCUAAUGUAUGAAUGAAUAAAUGGGUGUGUGUUUGGGUGGGUGGGGAAUUGGGGAGGGUGGGGGUGGAUGUGGGAGGGGAAACUGUAACACAAAUACAUUGUAUAAAAGUACAUUUUAAUAAAUGUAUUUCUUCUAUGACUAAAAAAA